Molecule: ribosomal RNA, 1232 nt
Filed under: Escherichia coli
Lineage: Bacteria; Pseudomonadati; Pseudomonadota; Gammaproteobacteria; Enterobacterales; Enterobacteriaceae
Description: partial 23S ribosomal RNA
Rfam family: Bacterial large subunit ribosomal RNA
Source: RNAcentral
UUAGUGGAAGCGUCUGGAAAGGCGUGCGAUACAGGGUGACAGCCCCGUACACAAAAAUGCACAUAUUGUGAGCUCGAUGAGUAGGGCGGGACACGUGGUAUCCUGUCUGAAUAUGGGGGGACCAUCCUCCAAGGCUAAAUACUCCUGACUGACCGAUAGUGAACCAGUACCGUGAGGGAAAGGCGAAAAGAACCCCGGCGAGGGGAGUGAAAAAGAACCUGAAACCGUGUACGUACAAGCAGUGGGAGCCUCUUAAUGGGGUGACUGCGUACCUUUUGUAUAAUGGGUCAGCGACUUAUAUUCUGUAGCAAGGUUAACCGAAUAGGGGAGCCGAAGGGAAACCGAGUCUUAACUGGGCGUUAAGUUGCAGGGUAUAGACCCGAAACCCGGUGAUCUAGCCAUGGGCAGGUUGAAGGUUGGGUAACACUAACUGGAGGACCGAACCGACUAAUGUUGAAAAAUUAGCGGAUGACUUGUGGCUGGGGGUGAAAGGCCAAUCAAACCGGGAGAUAGCUGGUUCUCCCCGAAAGCUAUUUAGGUAGCGCCUCGUGAAUUCAUCUCCGGGGGUAGAGCACUGUUUCGGCAAGGGGGUCAUCCCGACUUACCAACCCGAUGCAAACUGCGAAUACCGGAGAAUGUUAUCACGGGAGACACACGGCGGGUGCUAACGUCCGUCGUGAAGAGGGAAACAACCCAGACCGCCAGCUAAGGUCCCAAAGUCAUGGUUAAGUGGGAAACGAUGUGGGAAGGCCCAGACAGCCAGGAUGUUGGCUUAGAAGCAGCCAUCAUUUAAAGAAAGCGUAAUAGCUCACUGGUCGAGUCGGCCUGCGCGGAAGAUGUAACGGGGCUAAACCAUGCACCGAAGCUGCGGCAGCGACACUAUGUGUUGUUGGGUAGGGGAGCGUUCUGUAAGCCUGUGAAGGUGGCCUGUGAGGGUUGCUGGAGGUAUCAGAAGUGCGAAUGCUGACAUAAGUAACGAUAAAGCGGGUGAAAAGCCCGCUCGCCGGAAGACCAAGGGUUCCUGUCCAACGUUAAUCGGGGCAGGGUGAGUCGACCCCUAAGGCGAGGCCGAAAGGCGUAGUCGAUGGGAAACAGGUUAAUAUUCCUGUACUUGGUGUUACUGCGAAGGGGGGACGGAGAAGGCUAUGUUGGCCGGGCGACGGUUGUCCCGGUUUAAGCGUGUAGGCUGGUUUUCCAGGCAAAUCCGGAAAACCAAGGCUGAGGCGUGAUGA